GCCUUCGUGGUAUAGUGGUCAGCACACUCGGUUCGUAUUCGAGAGGCCUGUGGUUCGAGCCCCGGCGAGCGCA
Molecule: transfer RNA, 73 nt
Filed under: Stegodyphus mimosarum
Lineage: Eukaryota; Metazoa; Arthropoda; Arachnida; Araneae; Eresidae
Rfam family: tRNA
About the family: Transfer RNA (tRNA) molecules are approximately 80 nucleotides in length. Their secondary structure includes four short double-helical elements and three loops (D, anti-codon, and T loops).
Source: Rfam by way of RNAcentral